GACGAACGCUGGCGGCGUGCUUAACACAUGCAAGUCGAACGGAAAGGCCCUGCUUUUGUGGGGUGCUCGAGUGGCGAACGGGUGAGUAACACGUGAGUAACCUGCCCUUGACUUUGGGAUAACUUCAGGAAACUGGGGCUAAUACCGGAUAGGAGCUCCUGCUGCAUGGUGGGGGUUGGAAAGUUUCGGCGGUUGGGGAUGGACUCGCGGCUUAUCAGCUUGUUGGUGGGGUAGUGGCUUACCAAGGCUUUGACGGGUAGCCGGCCUGAGAGGGUGACCGGCCACAUUGGGACUGAGAUACGGCCCAGACUCCUACGGGAGGCAGCAGUGGGGAAUAUUGCACAAUGGGCGGAAGCCUGAUGCAGCAACGCCGCGUGCGGGAUGACGGCCUUCGGUUUGUAAACCGCUUUCGCCUGUGACGAAGCGUGAGUGACGGUAAUGGGUAAAGAAGCACCGGCUAACUACGUG
This 468-nucleotide ribosomal RNA is filed under the name uncultured bacterium. Its description in RNAcentral is "partial 16S ribosomal RNA". It matches the Rfam family "Bacterial small subunit ribosomal RNA", at positions 28 to 507 of the family's 1533-position model. The record is from RNAcentral.